GCUAUUCCAAUAUCCACUGUUGCUUCUGAGUCUACCUUUAGUACUGGAGGACGUGUUCUUGAUUCCUUUAGGAGUUCUUUAACUCCUAGAAUGGCUCAAGCUCUUGUGUGCUAUCAAGAUUGGAUAAAAAAUUCAACACCUUCAUUGGAUGUUUUUGAAGAGCUUCAAGAAUUAAAUGACUUUGAAAGUGUUGAAAAUGAUUCUUCAUGGAAUGCAAUGGAACCCACCUUGUGAAUUGUGAGUAAGUGGUUAAUUAUUAUUUAUACUUACACUUUUUAAUAUGUAGGAG
This is a long non-coding RNA of Ipomoea nil (Japanese morning glory), 289 nucleotides long. RefSeq lists it as uncharacterized. The transcript is spliced from 3 exons. Lineage: Eukaryota; Viridiplantae; Streptophyta; Magnoliopsida; Solanales; Convolvulaceae. The record is from RefSeq and is a predicted model, not a curated record.